Beta vulgaris subsp. vulgaris (sugar beet) is the source of this 3919-nucleotide RNA transcript. It is a transcript of the gene named protein GAMETOPHYTE DEFECTIVE 1, with no coding region annotated. The record is from RefSeq and is a predicted model, not a curated record. The transcript is spliced from 10 exons. NCBI's taxonomy places the organism in Eukaryota, Viridiplantae, Streptophyta, Magnoliopsida, Caryophyllales, Amaranthaceae.
GACUAUACGUCUCUACUUUAUCUUGGCUAAAGGGUUGGUUAAAUGAUUAAAUCCUACGUUCUUCAUACUUUGGCAACUUAUAGCAAAUCUACAAAAGAAACAUUAAAAAAGAAUGCAACGUAUAGCAAAACAAUUCAUUCUCAAUUCUCCGCUUUCAUCUUCUUCAUCCUUAAACCCUAAACCUCUGAAAAAAAAAAAAACAAAUUCCGCCAUUAAAUUUUCUUGACGACAAACCCUAAUUAACAGAGAAAAAACAAUGCAACUCUUCGACCUAAACAUUCCAUACCUAGAAUCCGAGAAAUCAAUCUCAGACAAAUCUUCAAAAAAGCAAACUCGACUCAAGCUAAUCGUCAAAUCAAUGGAGUUAGGUUACACUGGAAUCGCUUACAAUCGUACGAUUAAAGGUAUAAUGUCCGAAUCUGACCGUUGCACUAUUUCUCCAUUUCCUCUCUCUUCUCUCCUCAAUGUAUCUCCUUCUCUCUCCUCAACUGUUUCCUUUCAUCGUCGUCUCCUCGGAGUUUCCGAAAACUCUGCGUUUCGACAGUAUACUCGUUUAACAAUGGUGGUUGAAACCUCAACUCAAGCUUCGGCGUUGAAUUCCGGUAAUCCGGUUCUUAAGACUUAUGAUUUGAUCGCUGUUAAACCUUUGAACCAGAAUUCAUUUGAUCUUGCAUGUCAAUCGAUGCAGGUUGAUUUGAUUUCGAUUGACUUUGCUGAGAAAUUGCCGUUUCGUUUGAAGCUUCCUAUGGUGAAAGCUGCGAUUGCGCGAGGGGUGUAUUUCGAGAUUAUGUACUCGAGUCUUAUGCAAGAUGCUCAAGUGAGAAGGCAAAUGAUCUCCAAUGCCAAGUUAUUGGUGGAGUGGACUCAAGGCAAGAACCUGAUUGUAUCCAGUGCUGCUCCUUCUGUUCUUGAGCUCAGAGGUCCAAAUGAUGUGGCUAAUCUGUUAUCGUUGCUUGGUCUUUCAAAUGAGUGUGCAAAAGCGACUAUAUCUAAGAAUUGCAGUGUUUUAAUAGGAAAUGCUGUAAGGAAAAAGCAAUUCUAUAAGGAGGCGAUCAGAGUUGAAGUGAUGCCACCUGGAGUGCAAACUGAUCCCAAAGAGCCUUGGAUAGUUGAUCAUGUUGAUUGGGAUCCGUUAACUAGUGGUGAAGGUGAUUUGCUUUUAGAUGAUAUGGCAAAAGCAUUUGCUGAGUCUGGAAAAGUCUCCCAAACUGAUAAAGGUGUUAGAUUUUCUUCGUUUGUUGAUAGUGUGCAAUCACAUGGUUUACAAGGAAAUGACGUAGGUUUCAGAAUUGAGGGUAAAGUAUCUGCUUCUGAUAAAUCUACGGACCUUCUCUCAACUUCCAAGAAUCUUGAGGUGUCAAAAAAGAGUGAGAAGCCGCAGAACAGCAGUAGUCUAUUGAAUCAACAGUACUAUGCUGUUGACGAGCCUCAGAACGCAGUCCUUGAUUCUCCAAUGGAUUCGUUGGAGCUAAAGAACUUGAAUGCAGUGCAGACCACUACCUCUCCAAUCAUAUCACGUGAUCCAGAGCUGCAGAAUGAUGUUAGUAUUCUUGAAAAUCAUGUCUUGCUCACUGACAAUGUGAAGGAAGUAACCUUAAAAGAUGUUUGCUUGGAUGUGGGAUGUAUUGCUGGUUCAAGAAUGGAAGUCAUAACGAAAUCUGAGAAUCUUGAUCGCAACGAUGCGCAAACUGAUGAUUUAAAGCUAGCUUCUGGUGUAUUGAACCCGACAAAUGCUGGUAUCUCAACUGACAAACAAUUAAGUGAUGAAUCAGGCUUAUCCCUCUCUCCUGAUGUAUCUUUGGGUGGAAAUCUACUGGAGCUGAAAGAAGAUCCAUUAGCUGAUAGAAAUGCGAUUCAACAUGAUGGAAAUGUGAUGGAUGUGGACUCCUUUAUUGAGAAGAACGGUAGUGAGGAGAUGUGCAAAAAGAAAGAGCAAAAGAAAGAUCACUCUGAAGUCAAGAUUGACAGCAAAAAAACUAUUGCUGCUGAUACCAUGAUGCUAGUAGAUCCACUAAAACAGGAAAAACAAAGCAAUGACCUUUCAGCUGCAACAUCCACUCUUUCAGAUGACAAGAUCACAGAACGUAGAAUACAAGUAACAGAGAUAGGAGAAGCUGGGCACCUAUCUUUAGGUGAAAAUGAAUUAGGUAACCUUAAGGUGAAGUGGCAGCACAAAAGCCAAAUUCUGAGGUUUCCUUUUAAGCGAUUAUUACAAGUUCCAUUUAAGAAGAAAGGGAGGUCUUCCAUGUACAAAACUAAGAAGAGGUUUGUUUGUAGGGAAUAAAACCAGGUCACCCUGCAUCCAGUUCUUGCUAUCUGAGUAAGAGGAACCUUGCAACUUUUCCUGCCUCCAACAGCUGAUUGUUGAACAAGCUGAACGGAAGCUGCUAGUGGAUAAAUCUUUGCCGAAAGGUGUGUCUGGGAGUCCCUAGUUGACCCCAUGCAGGUUGCGGCUCCAUGUCGAUCUAAGCAGUGAUCACUAUGUCGUCUAACUGCUAAUGGUCGUUCAUGGAACCAAAUUGGCUGAAAGGGAGUUCAGGAGAUGAAUCCACUGCCCUUCAUCUUCUUCGUCUUCUUCACCUGCCAUUUGAUUCCAUUGUAGGUCUGGAAAUUCAGGCUGUUCGAUUUCAUCAUUCCUUGCAAAUCGACCCCUAACUCUUGGCCUGCUAUCAGCUAAUGUCUUCCUGCAUGCAUACUGAUGGCCAAUCAUUGCAACCAUAGAAAAAUUAGGUUUCGUCUAUGAUAAAGAUACAAAUUGUGUUAAUAAAAUAUUAAUAAAUAAUAUAGACUAGUGUAAAGAUUUUUCCUCGUAAAUAUUGAAAUUUAGCUCUUGAAUUGCUUCAAUUGUGAGAAGUUACAGACACGAGGACCUGUUUGUUUAUUGUUGAACACUUUGGAAUUAGCAGUACUAAAAGAAAGACGACUGUGACUAUACAUUAAACAUGAUGAUUUUGUUUGUAUUAGUGGAAGCGACUGUGAUUCUCAGCUUUUACAUGUCACCAAAGUCCUUAGAUUUCAAUGUCCUGCUUAUGCAUCGUAUCUUACCGUGGUAAACAUAUAUCUUUAGUGCAAGUUAUGAUUUUGUUGUGAAUAUGACAUGUUGAUUUAACUAGAGGUAGGGCCUACUGUCAUACUGUAGUAUUAUGUGGUUAUGCUCCUACAGCUCAGAGAGUAGCAAGUUUUGGCUGAAAGUUAGGAAUCUUGAAGGGUAUUACAGUCUUACUGAUAGUCUUACCUGAAUUUUCUUGUUGAAGUUCCUUUGGCUUCUCUUGCUGCGAUACCUCUCAAUUCUUUCUUUUUUCUCCUCAGGACUGUAGCGACAUGCCUUUGUCAUACCUUCAAUAAUAAUGCUCGCACUUUCAUUUGCCAACGGACUUCCUACUGGGUGGUGAUGUUGGUGGCGUAGAGCUUUGGCUCCCUGUCAUGAGAAUGAUCAACCAUGUUAGGUCGUGAAGGCUGGCGGGAGAAGAAUCAGGCAAAUAGAACCCGUUUUUGUGGAGUGAGUGGUUACUUAAGCUUCGCUGCAUCAAAGUGGCAGUAGCAUUUGGUGGGUGAUGACUACUAGUACAGCUUAGAGGUGAAUUUGGCGAGCCUAUGUAACUACUAGUAGUACACCCACUCCCAGCACUUGUAUUCGCGUUGGCGUUUGUGAGCAUGAAAGCUUCAUUGAUAGAGUCGAAGUCGCCUACAAGAGACUGGACUAACAGAGGUGAUAAACUGGAAGGGUAGUUUUGGUUGAUGCUAUCAGAGGAAUGAUCAUAGUAAGAACUGUUAUUUUGACCGUACAUGGUAUUUAUGUUGUGUUUUUAGGGAAGAAAGGGUAUAGAAAAUGUUCAAAUGAAUAAGAAUCAAGAUACUUUGUGCUCUUGCCAACACAAGGACAUAUAUAUAUGAGAAUGUUAUUACGAACUUUAAUACA